RNAcentral lists this small RNA (155 nucleotides) under Polaribacter sp. SA4-12. RNAcentral describes it as "Flavo-1 RNA". It matches the Rfam family "Flavo-1 RNA". Lineage: Bacteria; Pseudomonadati; Bacteroidota; Flavobacteriia; Flavobacteriales; Flavobacteriaceae. The record is from Rfam by way of RNAcentral.
AAAAAGCCCGCGUUAAGGAUUGAAACGGCAUCCUUUUUUAUUUUUACUUUAUAAGAGUUAUUAUUGUUUAUUAAUAAAGAGAUUGCCACAGUUUACAAAAAAGUAAACUUAGCAAUGAAAAAAUUAAAAAGAUAUAGUGGAAAGCCUGACCUGAA